UAUCUCUGUAGAGUCUGCAUAUCAAUAAGCGGAGGAAAAGAAACUAACAAGGAUUCCCUUAGUAACGGCGAGUGAAGCGGGAAGAGCUCAAAUUUGAAAUCUUCAAGGUUUUACCUUGACGAAUUGUAGUUUAAAGAAGUGUUUUCUGUUGAAGUUUCGGUAAAAGUUCUUUGGAAUAGGACAUCAUAGAGGGUGAGAAUCCCGUAUUUGACCGUUAUUUUCAGCUGUGUGAUACACUUUCAAAGAGUCGGAUUGUUUGGGAAUGCAGUCCAAAAUGGGUGGUAAAUUUCAUCUAAAGCUAAAUAUUGGCGAGAGACCGAUAGCGAACAAGUACCGUGAGGGAAAGAUGAAAAGAACUUUGAAAAGAGAGUUAAACAGUACGUGAAAUUGUCAAAAGGGAAGCGUUUGACACCAGUGUUGUUUUCUCGAAAAUCAAUUAAAAAUGGCUUGAUUUUGUGUUGUAUUGACCUUAAAAGCUUUCUUCACUUUUUUCAUGUCUUUUUUAAUGCACUUUUCGUUUAGCAAGUCAGCAUCAGUUUCUUUUGUUGUAAAAAGGUCAUUGGAAGGUGGCUUUCUUUUCGGAGAAAGUGUUCUAUAGCCUUUGACUUCCUGCAAUCGGAGAGACUUGAGGUCUGCAGCGUAGAUCCUUCUGGAUUAGAUACAUUUGUGCUAAGUUAUAGUUUUUCAUAGACAACAUGUUGACUAUAUUUAGUCAUGUAAGCUUACUCGCUUAUGCUAAUUUUACCUACGCUUAGGAUGUUGAACGCGCACAGAGUCUC
RNAcentral lists this ribosomal RNA (779 nucleotides) under uncultured Neocallimastigales. RNAcentral's name for it is "partial large subunit ribosomal RNA". It matches the Rfam family "Eukaryotic large subunit ribosomal RNA", at positions 24 to 611 of the family's 3401-position model. Lineage: Eukaryota; Fungi; Neocallimastigomycota; Neocallimastigomycetes; Neocallimastigales. The record is from RNAcentral.